CUGCAGCCAAUUAAGAUGACCGUGCUGCCCUCCCCAUGGUGCCCGGUGUGCAGUGGCUGCAAACAGCAGCCCCCUGGGUAGUGCAUGCAGCCUGUUGCUUGUACAGGCUGCCCUAAGCUUUCCCAAGUAUGCCAGUC
Erinaceus europaeus (western European hedgehog) is the source of this 137-nucleotide small nucleolar RNA. Its record names the gene SNORA70. It matches the Rfam family "Small nucleolar RNA SNORA70". From Rfam's summary of the family: snoRNA U70 seems to be exclusive to mammals and is a member of the H/ACA class of snoRNA which contain H (ANANNA) and ACA box motifs. H/ACA box snoRNAs are involved in the conversion of uridines to pseudouridines (5-ribosyluracil) a constituent of structural RNAs (transfer, ribosomal, small nuclear, and small nucleolar). The record is from Ensembl. NCBI's taxonomy places the organism in Eukaryota, Metazoa, Chordata, Mammalia, Eulipotyphla, Erinaceidae.